CGAAGCGGCUGAAUUGAUUCUUCGGAUGAUUUUCAGUUGACUGAGCGGCGGACGGGUGAGUAACGCGUGGGUGACCUGCCCCAUACCGGGGGAUAACAGCUGGAAACGGCCGCUAAUACCGCAUAAGCGCACAGAGCUGCAUGGCUCGGUGUGAAAAACUCCGGUGGUAUGGGAUGGGCCCGCGUCUGAUUAGGCAGUUGGCGGGGUAACGGCCCACCAAACCGACGAUCAGUAGCCGGCCUGAGAGGGCGACCGGCCACAUUGGGACUGAGACACGGCCCAAACUCCUACGGGAGGCAGCAGUGGGGAAUAUUGCACAAUGGGGGAAACCCUGAUGCAGCGACGCCGCGUGAGCGAAGAAGUAUUUCGGUAUGUAAAGCUCUAUCAGCAGGGAAGAUAAUGACGGUACCUGACUAAGAAGCCCCGGCUAACUACGUGCCAGCAGCCGCGGUAAUACGUAGGGGGCAAGCGUUAUCCGGAUUUACUGGGUGUAAAGGGAGCGUAGACGGCAAGGCAAGUCUGAUGUGAAAACCCAGGGCUUAACCCUGGGACUGCAUUGGAAACUGUCAUACUUGAGUGCCGGAGGGGUAAGCGGAAUUCCUAGUGUAGCGGUGAAAUGCGUAGAUAUUAGGAGGAACACCAGUGGCGAAGGC
This 653-nucleotide ribosomal RNA is filed under the name uncultured Lachnospiraceae bacterium. RNAcentral describes it as "bacterial SSU rRNA". It matches the Rfam family "Bacterial small subunit ribosomal RNA", at positions 63 to 722 of the family's 1533-position model. The record is from RNAcentral. Lineage: Bacteria; Bacillati; Bacillota; Clostridia; Lachnospirales; Lachnospiraceae.